GUUACUCUUAAAUAAUAGGGUAAAGCAAUUUUAUUGCGGAAGCUUAAUAAAUUAAGGUUUUAAACUUGCUUAGAGCGAUUUAAAAUCGGUGGAAUAUUUUUAUUCCCCACCAAAACCCCACCAAGAAUCAUUUCUUGGUGGGGUUUUUUU
This is a small RNA of Streptococcus henryi, 150 nucleotides long. It matches the Rfam family "Listeria sRNA rli38". The record is from Rfam. NCBI's taxonomy places the organism in Bacteria, Bacillati, Bacillota, Bacilli, Lactobacillales, Streptococcaceae.